Molecule: ribosomal RNA, 107 nt
Filed under: Bacilli bacterium
Lineage: Bacteria; Bacillati; Bacillota; Bacilli
Source: RNAcentral
UCUGGUGGUGAUGGCGCGGUGGACACACCUGUUCCCAUUCCGAACACAGAAGUUAAGCACCGUAGUGGCGACGAUAUCCGAAAGGACAAAAUAGCGAGCCGCCGGGC